GACGAACGCUGGCGGCGUGCUUAACACAUGCAAGUCGAACGGAAAGGCCCUGCUUUUGUGGGGUGCUCGAGUGGCGAACGGGUGAGUAACACGUGAGUAACCUGCCCUUGACUUUGGGAUAACUUCAGGGAAAUGGGGCUAAUACCGGAUAGGAGCUCCUGCUGCAUGGUGGGGGUUGGAAAGUUUCGGCGGUUGGUGAUGGACUCGCGGCUUAUCAGCUUGUUGGUGGGGUAGUGGCUUACCAAGGGUUUGACGGGUAGCCGGCCUGAGAGGGUGACCGGCCACAUUGGGACUACGAGACGGCCCAGACUCCUACGGGAGGCAGCAGGGGGGAAUAUUGCACAAUGGGCGGAAGCCUGAUGCAGCAACGCCGCGAGCGGGAUGACGGCCUUCGGGUUGUAAACCGCUGUCGCCUGUGACGAAGCGGGAGUGACGGUAAUGGGUAAAGAAGCACCGGCUAACUACGUG
RNAcentral lists this ribosomal RNA (468 nucleotides) under uncultured bacterium. RNAcentral describes it as "partial 16S ribosomal RNA". It matches the Rfam family "Bacterial small subunit ribosomal RNA", at positions 28 to 507 of the family's 1533-position model. The record is from RNAcentral.